Long non-coding RNA from Syngnathus typhle (broad-nosed pipefish), 669 nucleotides. RefSeq lists it as uncharacterized. Lineage: Eukaryota; Metazoa; Chordata; Actinopteri; Syngnathiformes; Syngnathidae. The transcript is spliced from 3 exons. The record is from RefSeq and is a predicted model, not a curated record.
AUGAUCCCGCCCCUUCAGCAGAUCAGACGGCCUGCCCCUGAGCUCAGAAAUGCUGAACCGACAAGAAGCAAGGACAUCGCGACAAGGAAAGAAAAGCACUGCGGAAACAAACUUCCCUCAAUUGAAAUGGUUUCCUUUUGAGAAAAUCAUUAAAUAUUGACUUCCGAGCCGAAGACCAUGCCACGCAAGCAUUUCAUCUCCUGGGCCACAAAAUGAGUGUGGGUGAGUUCUGAUGUACCGGCUUGUGUGCUGUUGUUCGAGGUGUCAUUCCAACAGAAGGAUUAAAGACAUAGGUGUGCUCAAGUUGUUACAAAUAUAAUUUGUUGUACCCAAUUAUACGAGGGACGUGCCAAAGGUUUUCAGCCUCACCUUGAAAUCAAAUACAUACCUCUAUGCUCAUAGCUAGAUAGGCCAACUCUUUGCGUGUCUAAAAAAUUGCUUCUCAAUCAAAAGAAGAAUUGCAUGCAGUAAUUACAGGUAAAUACAUGCGUUUGGAAAAAAAGAAAAGUCUAAACUAAAGACAAUAGUGUCAACAGAGGGCAAAGAGCCUUCAUCCAGGAGAGUCAAUGCAUCAAAUGUUGUAGAAUACUUUUGGUCUCUUGUCUUGUUUUCUAGAUUUUCUACCCUUGUACUAAAAAAAAGGAUAAUCAAUAAAGUUUAACACCGUUA